Molecule: ribosomal RNA, 489 nt
Filed under: uncultured bacterium
Lineage: Bacteria
Description: partial 16S ribosomal RNA
Rfam family: Bacterial small subunit ribosomal RNA
Source: RNAcentral
AUUGAACGCUGGCGGCAGGCCUAACACAUGCAAGUCGAACGGUAACAGGAAGAAGCUUGCUUCUUUGCUGACGAGUGGCGGACGGGUGAGUAAUGUCUGGGAAACUGCCUGAUGGAGGGGGAUAACUACUGGAAACGGUAGCUAAUACCGCAUAACGUCGCAAGACCAAAGAGGGGGACCUUCGGGCCUCUUGCCAUCGGAUGUGCCCAGAUGGGAUUAGCUAGUAGGUGGGGUAACGGCUCACCUAGGCGACGAUCCCUAGCUGGUCUGAGAGGAUGACCAGCCACACUGAAACUGAGACACGGUCCAGAGUCCUAGGGAAGGCAGCGGGGGGUAAUAUUGCACAAUGGGCGCAAGCCUGAUGAAGCCAUGCCGGGGGUAUGAAGAAGGCCUUCGGGUGGUAAAGUACUUUCAGCGGGGAGAAAGGGAGUAAAGUUAAAACCUUUGUUCAUGAACGUAACCGGCAAAGAAGGCACGGCUAACCUCGGG